Molecule: ribosomal RNA, 489 nt
Filed under: uncultured bacterium
Lineage: Bacteria
Description: bacterial SSU rRNA
Rfam family: Bacterial small subunit ribosomal RNA
Source: RNAcentral
AUUGAACGCUGGCGGAAUGCUUUACACAUGCAAGUCGGGCGGCAGCACGGGGGCAACCCUGGUGGCGAGCGGCGAACGGGUGAGUAAUACAUCGGAACGUACCCUGUCGUGGGGGAUAACGAAUCGAAAGAUUCGCUAAUACCGCAUACGACCUGAGGGUGAAAGCGGGGGAUCGCAAGACCUCGCGCGAUAGGAGCGGCCGAUGUCGGAUUAGCUAGUUGGUGGGGUAAAGGCCCACCAAGGCGACGAUCCGUAGCUGGUCUGAGAGGAUGAUCAGCCACACUGGGACUGAGACACGGCCCAGACUCCUACGGGAGGCAGCAGUGGGGAAUAUUGGACAAUGGGCGCAAGCCUGAUCCAGCCAUGCCGCGUGAGUGAUGAAGGCCCUAGGGUUGUAAAGCUCUUUUUACCAGGGAUGAUAAUGACAGUACCUGGAGAAUAAGCUCCGGCUAACUCCGUGCCAGGAGCCGCGGUAAGUGACGUCAGACG